GCUGAAACAACCAGGAGGUUGGCUUAGAAGCAGCCUCCCUUUAAAAAGUGCGUAACAGCUUACUGGUCUAGUGACUUCGCGCGGAAAACUUAACGGGGCUAAGCAUAGUACCGAAGCCAUGGGUCUCAACAUUUGUUGGGGCAGUAGGGGAGCGUUCUGUCAGCGGUGAAGGUCGAUCGUAAGGGCGACUGGAGCGGACAGAAGUGAGAAUGCAGGCAUGAGUAGCGUACAAAUAUGUGAGAACCAUAUUCGCCGUAUAUCUAAGGUUUCCGACGCCAGGUCAUUCCGCGUCGGGUUAGUCGAGUCCUUAGCCGAGGCCGAGAGGCGUAGGUGAUGGACAUCUGGUCAACAUUCCAGAACCGCUAGAGAGUGCGAUGGGAGGACGCAACGAGGUAGGCCAGCCCAUUAUUGGAUUUGGGUGCGAUCCAUCUAGGUGUUGAGAUUGGUAGGUAAAUCCGCCAGUUGAGCUGAGGUGGGAGCGAGCCGUAAGGCAUAAGUGGUUGAGCCUUGUUGCCAAGAAAAGUCUCUAAGCAUAACUUUCUAGUGCUCGUACCGCAAACCGACACCGGUAGAUGGGUAGAGUAUACCAAGGCGAACGGGAGAACUCUCGUUAAGGAAUUAGGCAACAUGACCUCGUAACUUCGGGAGAAGAGGUGCCCUCUAGGGUGUUAAAGCCCAGGAGGGUCGCAGUGAAAUGGCUCUGGUGACUGGUUAACAAAACCACAGGUCUCUGCUAAGCCGUAAGGCGAUGUAUAGGGGCUGACGCGUGCCCAGUGCCGGAAGGUUAAAGGGAGAGGUUAGCGCAAGCGAAGCUUUGAACUGAAGCCCCGGUGAACGGCGGCCGUAACUAUAACGGUCCUAAGGUAGCGAAAUUCCUUGUCGGGUAAGUUCCGACCCGCACGAACCGCGUAACAAUUAGAGCACUGUCUCGACGAGAGACCCGGUGAAAUUGAAAUGGCUGUGAAGAUGCGGCCUACCCGCAGUAGGACAAAAAGACCCCGUGGAGCUUUGCUGCAGUUUGGCAUUGUAUUUGGAUAUGAUCUGUGUAGGAUAGGUGGGAGGCUUUGAAGCUGGCGCGCUAGCGUCGGUGGAGCCAAUGGUGAAAUACCACCCUGAUCAUGUUUAGAUCCUAACCCCAUUCCGUAAUCCGGAUGGGGGACCGUGCCAGAUGGGCAGUUUGACUGGGGCGGUCGCCUCCUAAAAGGUAACGGAGGCGCCCAAAGGUUCCCUCAGGUGGAAUGGAAACCCACCAUAGAGUGUAAAGGCAUAAGGGAGCUUGACUGUAAGGCCAACGCGCCGAACAGAGACGAAAGUCGGGCUUAGUGAUCCCACAAUACCGAGUGGAAGGGUUGUGGCUUACCGGAUAAAAGCUACCCCGGGGAUAACAGGCUGGUGAGAUCCAAGAGUUCACAUCGACGAUCUCGCUCGU
Molecule: ribosomal RNA, 1429 nt
Filed under: metagenome
Description: bacterial LSU rRNA
Rfam family: Bacterial large subunit ribosomal RNA
Source: RNAcentral